This 1429-nucleotide long non-coding RNA is filed under the name Calidris pugnax (ruff). Its description in RNAcentral is "lncRNA (ENSCPUG00000014149.1)". Lineage: Eukaryota; Metazoa; Chordata; Aves; Charadriiformes; Scolopacidae. The record is from RNAcentral.
UUUGUGUUUUUUGGGGUUUUUUUCCCCUCUUGGCAGAGCAUUCCUAUGACAACUGCGCCUUCGCCGUGGUGAGUCCCUGGGUUUUCGGUGGGUUUUGGGGUCACCCCGUUGCCCCCCUGACCCCACCUCACCCCGUUUCUCCCCCUCCCUCAACCAGAACGUGCCCCCGGGAGCUCGUGGUGUCCCCGGUCCGUCCCCGGUGUCCCCCCACAGAGACCCCCGGGCGGCCCCCCCCUCCUUCAGCACCUUCAGGUCGUAACGGGGGGCCCCCGUUACCGGGAAGAACCAGGAGCCACCGGCAGCACCGGGACGGAGGGGGGAGAGUCACGGUCGGCGAGACACCGGGGGGCUGCCCAGUGAGACCCCCGGCACCCGAAAGGUGCACACUGGCAGACCUUCCUCUUCCUCCUCCUCCUCCUCAUCCUCAUCCUCCCCGCUUUCCGUGAUGCUCCGGAGCCGGCUCUGGUGUCAAUAAAGGUGUUUUCCGCCCGGUGCCGGUGCGGGAUGUGGGUGCCCUGUGUCCCCCCCGGUACCGGGACCCGGUAUCAGUGUCUGUGCCCGGUGGUAGAGCCCGGUGCCGGUACCUGGUGGCAGUUCCUUGUCCCGGUACCAGUCCCCAGUGCUGGUGCCAGUCCCCGGUACCGGUCCCCGGUGGCGGUGGCAGUGCCCUGUCCCGGUCCCUGAUCCCGGUGCCGGUUCCCGGUGGCAUUGUCCUGUCCUGGUGCCGGUCCCUGGUCCCUGUCCCGGUGCCGUGGCAGUGCUCGAUCCCGGUGCUGGUCCCCAAUCCCAGUACCAGUCCCUGUCCCGGUGCCGGUCCCUGUUGUCUUUGUCCCGGUCCCGGUGGCAGUUCCUUGUCCCGGUGCCGGUCUCCGGUGCUGGUGGUGGUUCCCGGUGCUGGUGCCAGUCCCCGGUCCCUGUCCCGGUGCUGUGGCAGUGCCCUGUCCCGGUCCUCGAUCCCGGUGCCGGUCCCUGGUGCCAGUCCCCGAUCCCGGUGCCGGUCCCUGGUGGUGGUGGCAGUGCCCUGUCCCGGUCCCGGUGCUCGUCCCUGUCCCGGUGUUGGUCCCCGGUACCAGUCCCUGGUGACGGUGGCCUGUCCCGGUGGCAGUCCCUGGUCCCUGUCCCGGUGCCGUGGCAGUGCUCGAUCCCGGUGCUGGUCCCCAAUCCCAGUACCGGUCCCUGUCCUGGUGGCGGUUCCCUGUCCUGGUGCCGGUCCCCGGUGGCAGUUCCCAGUGCCAGUGGUAGAGCCCGGUACCGGUACCUGGUGUCGGUUCCUUGUCCUGGUGCCGGUCCCCGGUGCUGGUGGUGGUUCCCAGUGCUGGUGUCAGUCCCCGGUACCGGUCCCCGGUGGCGGUGGCAGUGCCCUGUCCCAGUACCCAUCCCUGUCUCGGUGCUGGUCCCCGGUGGCGGUGCCCUGUCCUGGUCCCCAAUC